UAUUCACCCAACAGCUGUUGGCUCUGGUGAGCAGCACAUCCUGCCAGGGAACUCUGAGCCAGGCCUGCAGAGCCCACCUGGGAGCAGGCGGGAGUCAGCAUGGGCUCGCAGCCUAUCCCGGAGCCUCGCCGACCUGUUUCCUCCUCAGGCCAAGGAUGACAUGCAAUUUUAACUGACACCAGGCCUGUGGUCUGAUAUCCAGAGUUGCCCAGAAAAGGAGUUGUUAGUUUUACCUGAUAUUUAUGGUCUAAAAACGACCUACCUGGAAUCCCUCAUCCUGUGGCUUCAGCUCUCUCGGCCACAUUGAAGACCCUUGUGCUUUCAUUGGGGCCACCUGGAUACUCCAGGCUAAUGUCUGUAUUUUAAGGUGUGGAUAUGGUCAAAAGCCAAGUUCAUCAAUAGGAAAUUCCUAAUGCAGGAACUUUAGCAGUGCUUUCUAGAUGGAGAUAACGGCUUUGUG
Molecule: small RNA, 460 nt
Filed under: Pongo abelii (Sumatran orangutan)
Lineage: Eukaryota; Metazoa; Chordata; Mammalia; Primates; Hominidae
Description: processed transcript
Source: RNAcentral